This 232-nucleotide ribosomal RNA is filed under the name uncultured bacterium. RNAcentral describes it as "partial 16S ribosomal RNA". It matches the Rfam family "Bacterial small subunit ribosomal RNA", at positions 118 to 347 of the family's 1533-position model. The record is from RNAcentral.
UGAGGAACAUGACCUUCGGCGGGGGAUAGCCGGCCCAACGGCCGGGUAAUACCGCGUACGACCACAUGGUGACAUCCCUGAGUGGUGAAAGCAGCAAUGCGCCGAUGGAGUGCCUCGCGGCCUAUCAGCUAGUUGGUGGGGUAACGGCUCACCAAGGCAACGACGGGUAGCUGGUCUGAGAGGAUGGCCAGCCACAUUGGGACUGAGACACGGCCCAGACCUNUACGGGAGG